CCAGACUCCUACGGGAGGCAGCAGUGGGGGAUAUUGCACAAUGGGGGGAACCCUGAUGCAGCGACGCCGCGUGGGUGAAGAAGCGCCUCGGCGCGUAAAGCCCUGUCAGCAGGGAAGAAAAUGACGGUACCUGAAGAAGAAGCCCCGGCUAACUACGUGCCAGCAGCCGCGGUAAUACGGAGGAUGCGAGCGUUAUCCGGAUUUAUUGGGUUUAAAGGGUGCGUAGGCGGUCUGUUAAGUCAGCGGUAAAAUUGCGGGGCCCAACCCCGGCGAGCCGUUGAAACUGGCAGACUUGAGUUGGCGAGAAGUACGCGGAAUGCGCGGUGUAGCGGUGAAAUGCAUAGAUAUCGCGCAGAACUCCGAUUGCGAAGGCAGCGUACCGGCGCCACACUGACGCUGAGGCACGAAAGCGUGGGGAUCGAACAGGAUUAGAUACCCCAGUAGAU
Molecule: ribosomal RNA, 446 nt
Filed under: uncultured bacterium
Lineage: Bacteria
Description: bacterial SSU rRNA
Rfam family: Bacterial small subunit ribosomal RNA
Source: RNAcentral